This 579-nucleotide ribosomal RNA is filed under the name uncultured bacterium. Its description in RNAcentral is "partial 16S ribosomal RNA". It matches the Rfam family "Bacterial small subunit ribosomal RNA", at positions 355 to 923 of the family's 1533-position model. The record is from RNAcentral.
UGGGGAAUUUUGGACAAUGGGCGAAAGCCUGAUCCAGCAAUGCCGCGUGUGUGAAGAAGGCCUUCGGGUUGUAAAGCACUUUUGUCCGGAAAGAAAUCCUUGGCUCUAAUACAGUCGGGGGAUGACGGUACCGGAAGAAUAAGCACCGGCUAACUACGUGCCAGCAGCCGCGGUAAUACGUAGGGUGCAAGCGUUAAUCGGAAUUACUGGGCGUAAAGCGUGCGCAGGCGGUUUGCUAAGACCGAUGUGAAAUCCCCGGGCUCAACCUGGGAACUGCAUUGGUGACUGGCAGGCUAGAGUAUGGCAGAGGGGGGUAGAAUUCCACGUGUAGCAGUGAAAUGCGUAGAGAUGUGGAGGAAUACCGAUGGCGAAGGCAGCCCCCUGGGGCCAAAUACUGACGCUCAUGCACGAAAGCGUGGGGAGCAAACAGGAUUAGAUACCCUGGUAGUCCACGCCCUAAAACGAUGUCAACUAGUUGUUGGGGAUUCAUUUCCUUAGUAACGUAGCUAACGCGUGAAGUUGACCGCCUGGGGAGUACGGUCGCAAAGAUUAAAACUCAAAUGAAUUGACGGGGUCAUA